AGGCUCAGAUUGAACGCUGGCGGCAGGCCUAACACAUGCAAGUCGAGCGGAUGAGAAGAGCUUGCUCUUCGAUUCAGCGGCGGACGGGUGAGUAAUGCCUAGGAAUCUGCCUGGUAGUGGGGGACAACGUUUCGAAAGGAACGCUAAUACCGCAUACGUCCUACGGGAGAAAGCAGGGGACCUUCGGGCCUUGCGCUAUCAGAUGAGCCUAGGUCGGAUUAGCUAGUUGGUGAGGUAAUGGCUCACCAAGGCGACGAUCCGUAACUGGUCUGAGAGGAUGAUCAGUCACACUGGAACUGAGACACGGUCCAGACUCCUACGGGAGGCAGCAGUGGGGAAUAUUGGACAAUGGGCGAAAGCCUGAUCCAGCCAUGCCGCGUGUGUGAAGAAGGUCUUCGGAUUGUAAAGCACUUUAAGGUGGGAGGAAGGGUUGUAGAUUAAUACUCUGCAAUUUUGACGUUACCGCCAGAAUAAGCACCGGCUAACUCUGUGCCAGCAGCCGCGGUAAUACAGAGGGUGCAAGCGUUAAUCGGAAUUACUGGGCGUAAAGCGCGCGUAGGUGGUUUGUUAAGUUGAAUGUGAAAUCCCCGGGCUCAACCUGGGAACUGCAUCCAAAACUGGCAAGCUAGAGUAUGGUAGAGGGUAGUGGAAUUUCCUGUGUAGCGGUGAAAUGCGUAGAUAUAGGAAGGAACACCAGUGGCGAAGGCGACUACCUGGACUGAUACUGACACUGAGGUGCGAAAGCGGGACAAACAAACAGGAUUAGAUACCCUGGUUAGUCCCCGCCGUAAACGAUGUCAACUAGCCGUUGGGGACCUUGAGAUCUUUGUGGCGCAGCUAACGCAUUAAGUUGACCGCCUGGGGAGUACGGCCGCAAGGUAAAACUCAAAUGAAUUGACGGGGGCCCGCACAAGCGGUGGAGCAUGUGGUUUAAUUCGAAGCCACGCGAAGAACCUUACCAGGCCUUGACAUCCAAUGAACUUUCCAGAGAUGGAUUGGUGCCUUCGGGAACUCUGAGACAGGUGCUGCAUGGCUGUCGUCAGCUCGUGUCGUGAGAUGUUGGGUUAAGUCCCGUAACGAGCGCAACCCUUUUCCUUAGUUGCCAGCACGUUAUCGUGGACACUAUAGGGAGACUGCCGUGGACAAAUCGAAGGAAGGAGGGAAUAACGUCAAGUCAUCUUGGCCCUUACAGCCUGGGUUCUCCGUGGGGAUGACGUCCAGU
This 1222-nucleotide ribosomal RNA is filed under the name uncultured Pseudomonas sp. RNAcentral's name for it is "bacterial SSU rRNA". It matches the Rfam family "Bacterial small subunit ribosomal RNA", at positions 20 to 1238 of the family's 1533-position model. Lineage: Bacteria; Pseudomonadati; Pseudomonadota; Gammaproteobacteria; Pseudomonadales; Pseudomonadaceae. The record is from RNAcentral.